Molecule: non-coding RNA, 95 nt
Organism: Desarmillaria tabescens
Lineage: Eukaryota; Fungi; Basidiomycota; Agaricomycetes; Agaricales; Physalacriaceae
Source: the annotation of a RefSeq genome assembly
AGCAGCAUGGCGCAGUGGAAGCGCGCGGGGCCCAUAUACGGGAAGGAAUGUCUAUAUCUACCCCGAGGUCACUUGAUCGAGACAAGUUGCUGCUA